GGCGUAGGGCGCGAGCGUUGUCCGGAUUUAUUGGGCGUAAAGAGCUCGUAGGCGGCUUGUCGCGUCGUUCGUGAAAACCUGCAGCUCAACUGCAGGCUUGCGGUCGAUACGGGCAGGCUAGAGUUCGGUAGGGGAGACUGGAAUUUACGGUGUAGCAGUGAAAUGCGUAGAUAUCGUAAGGAAGACCAGUGGCGAAGGCGAGUCUCUGGACAGUUACCGACGCUGAGGCACGAAGGUCAGGGGAGCAAACGGG
This 253-nucleotide ribosomal RNA is filed under the name uncultured bacterium. RNAcentral's name for it is "partial 16S ribosomal RNA". It matches the Rfam family "Bacterial small subunit ribosomal RNA", at positions 524 to 776 of the family's 1533-position model. The record is from RNAcentral.